This 309-nucleotide unclassified non-coding RNA is filed under the name Hevea brasiliensis (rubber tree). The record is from RNAcentral. Lineage: Eukaryota; Viridiplantae; Streptophyta; Magnoliopsida; Malpighiales; Euphorbiaceae.
CGUUGCCAACAGGUUGGUCUUGUUGGCCUAUCUACAAAUCAAUUUAGAUGGAGCACAAAAUUGUUUACAUUCUCAUUUUUUUCUCCCUGUAUUAUAUUAGACACUCUUCACAAAUGAAUUGCAUUUCUGCUGAUCCUUGUUUUCAUGGUUAAGCUAACAUGACUAGCAACUUGGGAUAUGAAUUCAUUACUGUGGCUUCAUGCAAAAUAAGUCUAAACUGUAUUAUUGAUAUCAGACAGAUUCACAGAUUUAUUAGGGGAUAGCAAUUGUUGUAAGAAGUACAUUGCAAAAAAAAAAAACUAUGUAAUA